UGGGGAAUAUUGGGCAAUGGGGGAAACCCUGACCCAGCAACGCCGCGUGAAGGACGAAGGCCUUCGGGUUGUAAGCUUCUUUGAUCAGGGACGAAACAAAUGACGGUACCUGAGGAACAAGCCACGGCUAACUACGUGCCAGCAGCCGCGGUAAUACGUAGGUGGCAAGCGUUAUCCGGAUUUACUGGGUGUAAAGGGCGUGUAGGCGGUCUUGCAAGUCGGAAGUGAAAUUCCCGGGCUUAACCCGGGCGCUGCUCCCGAAACUGAGAGACUGGAGUACGGGAGAGGAGAGGGGAAUUCCUGGGGUAGCGGUAAAGGGCGUAGAUAUUAGGAGGAACACCAGUGGGGAAGGCGGCUAUCUGGACAGUAACUGACGCUGAGGUGCGAAAGCGUGGGGAGCAAACAG
This 406-nucleotide ribosomal RNA is filed under the name uncultured bacterium. RNAcentral's name for it is "bacterial SSU rRNA". It matches the Rfam family "Bacterial small subunit ribosomal RNA", at positions 355 to 775 of the family's 1533-position model. The record is from RNAcentral.